Molecule: long non-coding RNA, 237 nt
Organism: Musca domestica (house fly)
Lineage: Eukaryota; Metazoa; Arthropoda; Insecta; Diptera; Muscidae
Exons: 3
Source: RefSeq, a predicted model, not a curated record
UCUUAAGGUAAAGUGAAGUUAAAUUUUUUGCGGUGAAAAGUCGAUUUUGUGCAAAUAAAUUGACACAAUAACAACAACAACAAACAAUUUUUCAUUUCAUAAACUUUCAUUUGAUUAACAGCUAAGCUCAGCCAAAGGUAGCAACGACUUGUGCAUGGAAAAUAUAAUAAUAACAAUAAUAAAAGUGAAUUAGCGCAUAGCCAGAAGUAAAAAAAAAAAAACAAAACAAAGAAAAAA